AUCCUAUUUUGAAAAUGAACAUAACUGUUCUUUACCGACCUUCCCUAGAGCAAGUGGCAAAAGGUUUACUGGUUGGUACCCAAGACCUAAGUUCGAAUCCUAUUUGAUUCAUAUUUUCAGCUAAAAGAAAUAAACGAAGCGGGUAGCGUACUACCUAUCUCUCAAAAAAAAAAAAAAACAUUAAUUGUUCUUUAAUUUUUGAUACACUCAU
RNAcentral lists this long non-coding RNA (211 nucleotides) under Ananas comosus (pineapple). Its description in RNAcentral is "long non-coding RNA (ACOM_LNC015850)". Lineage: Eukaryota; Viridiplantae; Streptophyta; Magnoliopsida; Poales; Bromeliaceae. The record is from RNAcentral.